Long non-coding RNA from Spinacia oleracea (spinach), 354 nucleotides. RefSeq lists it as uncharacterized. Lineage: Eukaryota; Viridiplantae; Streptophyta; Magnoliopsida; Caryophyllales; Amaranthaceae. The record is from RefSeq and is a predicted model, not a curated record. The transcript is spliced from 2 exons.
GAUGGGUUGUGUUUUUUGGGAUUUUGUUGCAGCAAGGGAACAGAUCAAGCUCUACUAAGGUUGUUUCAAUUCUGCAGAACGGUGCGCGGUGCAUGCUUUCCAAUUGACUAAAGGUCUAUACUCUGAGGAAUGCGCCUUAUGCGAGUGAGGAAAUUGAUGUGGUUCGUGAGCAAUGGGCUAAGUUUUUUACCAGCAAAUAUUUAUUAUUGGCCUGAUCGCGCUUGAUCGAGUUGGUUUAGAUGUUAUAGAACAAUCUUUUAUAUUAAAAUGUAUGCGUACAAUGAAAUUGGAACAUAUAUUUAAAUGUACGUGCACUUUGGUUUCAUGUAUACAAAACAACAAUUAUUGUUUUUA